Molecule: ribosomal RNA, 214 nt
Filed under: Vibrio alginolyticus
Lineage: Bacteria; Pseudomonadati; Pseudomonadota; Gammaproteobacteria; Vibrionales; Vibrionaceae
Description: partial 23S ribosomal RNA
Rfam family: Bacterial large subunit ribosomal RNA
Source: RNAcentral
AACAUCUAAGUACCCCGAGGAAAAGAAAUCAACCGAGAUUCCGAAAGUAGCGGCGAGCGAAAUUGGACUAGCCCUUAAGCUUUACACGCGUUAGACGAACGGUCUGGAAAGGCCGACGAUACAGGGUGAUAGUCCCGUAGUUGACGACGUGUGUUCAGUGAAAUCGAGUAGGGCGGGACACGUGAUAUCCUGUCUGAAUAUGGGGGGACCAUCC